This 254-nucleotide ribosomal RNA is filed under the name uncultured bacterium. RNAcentral describes it as "partial 16S ribosomal RNA". It matches the Rfam family "Bacterial small subunit ribosomal RNA", at positions 524 to 776 of the family's 1533-position model. The record is from RNAcentral.
UACGAAGGGGGCUAGCGUUGUUCGGAAUUACUGGGCGUAAAGCGCGCGCAGGCGGCCAUUCAAGUCAGGGGUGAAAGCCCAGAGCUCAACUCUGGAACUGCCCUUGAAACUGUAUGGCUUGAGUAUGAGAGAGGUGAGUGGAAUUCCCAGUGUAGAGGUGAAAUUCGUAGAUAUUGGGAAGAACACCGGUGGCGAAGGCGGCUCACUGGCUCAUUACUGACGCUCAGGCGCGACAGCGUGGGGAGUCAAACAGG